UAGGGAAUAUUGGUAAUCUGCGAAAGCGGGAACCAGCAACGCCGCGUGUGCGAUGAAGGCCUUCGGGUCGUAAAGCACUUUUUAGAGGGAUGAGGAAGGACAGUACCUCUAGAAUAAGCUUCGGCUAACUACGUGCCAGCAGCCGCGGUAACACGUAGGAAGCGAGCGUUAUCCGGAUUUACUGGGCGUAAAGCGCGUGCAGGCGGUUCGAUAAGUUGGAUGUGAAAGCUCCUGGCUUAACUGGGAGAGGUCGUUCAAUACUGUCGAACUAGAGAGUGGUAGAGGGAGGUGGAAUUCCGGGUGUAGUGGUGAAAUGCGUAGAUAUCCGGAGGAACACCAGUGGCGAAAGCGGCCUCCUGGACCAUCUCUGACGCUCAGACGCGAAAGCUAGGGGAGCAAA
This 400-nucleotide ribosomal RNA is filed under the name uncultured bacterium. RNAcentral describes it as "bacterial SSU rRNA". It matches the Rfam family "Bacterial small subunit ribosomal RNA", at positions 355 to 772 of the family's 1533-position model. The record is from RNAcentral.